RNAcentral lists this transfer RNA (72 nucleotides) under Marmota monax (woodchuck). RNAcentral's name for it is "tRNA.Ala". Lineage: Eukaryota; Metazoa; Chordata; Mammalia; Rodentia; Sciuridae. The record is from RNAcentral.
GGGGCUGUAGCUUAGUGGUAGAGCACCCUGUCUUGCAUAUGUGAGGCACUGGGUUCGAUCCUCAGCACCACA